Molecule: unclassified non-coding RNA, 339 nt
Filed under: soil metagenome
Description: partial contains 5.8S ribosomal RNA, internal transcribed spacer 2, and large subunit ribosomal RNA
Rfam family: 5.8S ribosomal RNA (bases 1-120)
Source: RNAcentral
GAUGAAGAACGUAGCGAAAUGCGAUAAGUAGUGUGAAUUGCAGAAUUCAGUGAAUCAUCGAAUCUUUGAACGCACAUUGCGCCCCUCGGUAUUCCGUGGGGCAUGCCUGUUCGAGCGUCAUUUAACCCCUCAAGCCUAGCUUGGUAUUGGGUGCUUGUCCCGCCUCUCGCGCGGCGACUCACCUCAAAGUCAUUGGCAGCCCGCAUCUCGCCGGCCGUGAGCGCAGCACAGACGCGCUAUUGGCAACGACGGAUCGGCUCUCCAAAAGCUUAUUUCAACCACUGACCUCGGAUCAGGUAGGGAUACCCGCUGAACUUAAGCAUAUCAAUAAGCGGAGGA